This is a non-coding RNA of Lactuca sativa (garden lettuce), 2289 nucleotides long. NCBI's taxonomy places the organism in Eukaryota, Viridiplantae, Streptophyta, Magnoliopsida, Asterales, Asteraceae. The record is from RefSeq and is a predicted model, not a curated record.
UUGAUAGAAAUGGUCUCUUGAUUAUAGAAUUUUUGUAUAAGGAUGGAAAAUAUUCUUUUCUCCUGUCCACAUGUUGGUCAUCGUGCCCAGUUUCACAUAUGACCGUCCUUAGAACAGUGCGGUUUGCCGGUUAUUUUAUCCCCACACCACCUGUAGGUAAUCUAUCCUUUCAGUUUCUUCCUUAUCUAUAGCGGUAACUGGGAGAAGUAGAGGCCUCCACAACUUUCAGGUUUUCUUCAGACGUGUCUUCCCGAUCCUUCCACCACCGAUCAGUUUUUUUCUGCGUUCUGUUCUAAACUGAGUCGGAUCAAACCGACAAAACCCUCAACCCAUUUACCAUCGGCGUCACCAUCUUCUCUAUAUUCUACAACCGUGUGAUUAGGGCUUCCUCCAUUGAUUGGUGGAGCCCAGAAGACAUCGUUACGGCUUGUGAAAGCCAUCGACUCUUCCUCUCUUUCUUCUUUCUAUCAAUCCUUGUCUGUGAUUUCAAUUCCACCGUAUAUGUCUCUCAAUCCUUCUGUCUUCCACUCCUCAUCUACCAUCUCUUUUACCUAGGUUUCGUUUAUUAGCGUCGAGCGAGCAUCCCCGAAUUGGAGCUACAAACAUGUUACUUUGCCAUAAUCUUUACAAUUCGCAACUUUUUCAUGUAUCCCAUACUCCAAAUUAACAAGGGUUUUGAUUUUUGGUCGCAAUUUUGGGACCUAAAUUUUUGUUACUAGUAUCCUCCACCCCUCCACUGCUGCCUAUCUUACGAUUCCUUCUUACCACCAUUGGACCGGUCUAUGCAACCAUCAGACCAUCAGACGACUUAACAGCAAAUGUGGGAAUAUGCUAUACGACUGUGAUAGUGUUCAUCACAAUCGGCUUAAGGUGUGGGAGUGGAGGAAGCAAUGGUUUUGCCAGAAUUGCAGGUAAGCAAAUCAUCUUCUUUUUGAUGCAAAUAUCUACGGUUUCUUCAUUCAAUUUCACUUGCACAUGUUUGAACUUCUGUUUUGUUUUUGCUUCCAUCACGGUCCGAAGCACACACAAUCAACCUCUAUCCUAAAAUUGGCUUCAAGAGCCCAAGCUCAGAUUCAACGAACUUGGAAUCUUCACCGAAAUCACCAGGAAAAACAGUUGGAUUCUCAAUAGGUAAUCGCUUUACCUAUUCUAACAAACGGGAUCCAUCUGGGAAGAGCAAAGAUGGAUGUGGGAGGAACAACGGUCGACUGGGGAGGAAAAAUAGUGGGAGAGUGAGAGGUCGAAUGUUACUUAUUUUUUUCGGUUUCCUUGGGUUUCAAAUUGCAUAUAUGCUAAUAUUAUGACAAAAAGAUUUAGUAAUGUUCGUUCAUUUGUUCAUAUAUUUAUUUUGUUACAAUAUCUCAAAUAUAAAAGAAACUGUUACAUGUAUUCCCCUAACUUGAUUUAUUAGAUGUUGCAACCCCACAGAAAAAGAAUAUCUCCCAUCUGGAGAAACUCUAGGUGCAUUUCGAACUUGGGUGGUGACAUUGCAAUAAUUGAGGCACUUUCAUAUGUUCCAGCACCUGCCAAUGCAUUGAGGUUGUACUUACAGUCUGUAGAGGCUGCGAACAGUUGUGAUUUGGAACGAGUUGCAUAUGAGUUUUUCACCCAAGCAUUUGUUUUAUAUGAGGAAGAAAUUGCACUAAUAGAUGACCAUCAUUUGAAACAUGGAGGGAGAUGGAGUUGGGAUUGUUUCUUAAGGUACCCACCUUGCAGAAAUUAUAAGAUAUUUGUAAGGUUUCUUCACAAGGUUAAUAUUUUUGAUACAUUGCUUAAUCAUAAAAACUGUCGACUUCCAUCAGCUUUACAAUAUCUAUCUCAAAAUUGAUCAAUCAGAGAUAGACAUAGUUGACAUUCUUCAAAAGUCAUCGUCUUCUUUAGAUGGAAAUUAUGUUUUAUUCUUACUACAUGCAAUAAACCGAAAGCUUUACUUUGUAGAUCUUCAAGAUAGGACAUUAUCAAAGAUUUUUUAAUGAGGGCGGUUAUGAACCGAUGUUGAACUUCUCAUAAAAAGCCUAACCUUCAUGAUCAAUUGCAUUGUAGGUUAUAUGUGAUGACAAGAGUUGGAAAUGAAAUGGAUAUGGAUUUGUGCAUUUUUUUGUUUUUUUUUUCAUUAAUUUAUUUUAGUUUAAAAUAUGUGAAUCAUGAAGUUGUUGAAUGGAUUUUAGGGUAUUUAAAGUUUACAUAUAGCUGUUGAAAGUAGAGUUUACUUUAAUUUUCAGGAACUAUAACUAUUUGGGUUUACUGCUGUAUUUACAACUGAUACAAAGUGUUAUUCAUUUCGUUGGA